GGGUCUGUCCAUCGGUCGGGCUUCACGGUCCGUACUGGUGAGAUGGGUUCCUACCUUCUGAAUAACCGGCAUGCCAUUCAGUUGGUGCGCCGGGGAAGCAGAGCUAUUACCUUGAAAAAAUUAGAGUGCUUAAAGCAGGCUAGUGCUUGAAUAGAUUAGCAUGGAAUAAUAAAAUAGGACGGCAUGGUUCCAUUUUGUUGGUUUCUGAAUCACCGUA
RNAcentral lists this ribosomal RNA (217 nucleotides) under Glomeromycotina sp. Its description in RNAcentral is "partial small subunit ribosomal RNA". The stretch from base 93 to 217 matches the Rfam family "Eukaryotic small subunit ribosomal RNA", at positions 738 to 864 of the family's 1831-position model. Lineage: Eukaryota; Fungi; Glomeromycota. The record is from RNAcentral.